RNAcentral lists this ribosomal RNA (279 nucleotides) under Triticum aestivum (bread wheat). RNAcentral's name for it is "partial small subunit ribosomal RNA". Lineage: Eukaryota; Viridiplantae; Streptophyta; Magnoliopsida; Poales; Poaceae. The record is from RNAcentral.
GAGAAGGAGGGUGGAGCGCCGCGGCAGCAUGCGAGACUCCAAGCCUUCCAAGAUGCGUUGCCUGAUUGUUCCUUGGAGGACAUAGGAUACCAUGGCGAUAAAUUCACAUGGUUCCGAGGUGGUAUGAGGGAACGUUUGGAUCGGGCCGUCUGUAAUGCCGAAUGGAUGGAAAUGCACCCCUUGUGUGGACUGUGCAACCUUGAUAUGGGGAAAUCGGAUCAUAGACCGAUAUGUCUGGACACUGACUACUUGGCCGGCGUGGCAGCCCCAAGGAAGUAG